This 210-nucleotide unclassified non-coding RNA is filed under the name uncultured Acaulospora. Its description in RNAcentral is "sequence contains ITS2". The record is from RNAcentral. Lineage: Eukaryota; Fungi; Glomeromycota; Glomeromycetes; Diversisporales; Acaulosporaceae.
AUCUAUAAUCGUGAAAAUUUUUCGCGGAUCUGGAUUUUCCGAGUUUUCUUAAGACUUUGGUAACCUAAAAUUUAUCUUAACAAUCUUUAGGUAUUAAUAUUAAAAGUGUUUUAUCUUUACAUAUUGUAAGUUCAUUGAUAAUUAUACCAAUUGUUGCAUCGCGUUAUUAAUCUAGUAUUUUUUGAUUGGUGGAAUAAUUCAACUCUUUUA